This 1616-nucleotide long non-coding RNA is filed under the name Rosa chinensis. RNAcentral describes it as "sRNA RchiOBHm_Chr5g0039311". Lineage: Eukaryota; Viridiplantae; Streptophyta; Magnoliopsida; Rosales; Rosaceae. The record is from RNAcentral.
GUUGGUGAUCUGCUACAAGUAUAAUCUAAAGAACCAACGCCUACUUUCGGGAAGCAUCGAUGAAGACUGACCUCCGCUGCUGCGUUGUUGCAACCUCUCUGACGUCAACAUGAAUCCAAACAGCUGCGAGAACAAAAUGGAUGUCUUCAUUCAUGAAAUGGAACCUUAAAAAUCAGAAUACAAGAUCAGAGUUCGUAUAUCGAGAGUGUGGAGAGCAAAGCAAUAUAAUACUAACAAGAAUGAUGGUCUCCACUCUGUCUUGAUUGAUGAAAAGGGUGACGCUAUUCAAUUAUUCAUGCAAUUAUCAGUGAAUCUGACUACCCUUUAGUUCACAAAAAAAAUACAACAAGGCAAGGUUUAUGACAUUCACAAUUUCUUUACACGAAAAAACCAGGAAAACUACAAGAUUCUUGAUCAUCGGAGUCAAGUCCGUUUCAAUGCACUGACUGUCUUUGAAGCAGUUGAAGGAAACUGCCCAAAAAUUCCAGAGCAUCGAUUCUAUUUAGUAGAAUUUGAUCAACUCGAAGCACGCAUGAAUGAUCAUACAAUUCUAACAGAUGUGUAUGGCUGUUUGAAGUCGAUUGUACCACCACAUGAGACAACUGUGAACUGUCAAGGAUAGAGAGUCAAAAUGUGAAAGACAAGAGUCAAAAUGUGAAAUCCAUUUGCAGAACUUAAGAAGAGAGGACUUGAGAAUUACACUCUGGGGCAACACUGCUAGACAAGUCGACAUGGAAACAAUUAGAAAAGCUUCUCCACCAGUGCUGAUGGCAUUAACCAGUUUAAAAAUCAAAGAGUACUUGAGUAAGUGUCCUUCAAAAAUUCAUCAAUUAUUUCAACAUGACUAACAACUAUAUAUAACUAAUUAUUUUUGUAACUAGCAGACAAACCUGCCCCAUCAAAUACAAGCAACACCUGUAUUUUCAUCAAUCCAAAGAUCCCAGAAACAAACAAGCACAGGCUUCAGUUCUCAAAACUGGUUGAUAGAGUGCAAAUACUUCCAACACCAUUCAAACAACCAACAUCAGAAGAAAUCUAGGAAACCAAUAUGAAAACAGUGACUCGAUUGAACAUAUUGGAUCCAUUGUCAUACAAGGAACAAAUGGUGUAUUGCAAUGCUUCAAUUUCCAGAUUUGCAACACACGACGGUUGGUGGUAUAAAGCCUCGCUGUUAUCGAGAAUUAAGAGAACAAGAACAUGACAAUCAACUUGGCUGCUCACAUCAUGGGAAGCAAGAAAUUCUUGUUUCAGAGUCUACAUGACUAUCACAGAUGGUCAAAAUGAGGCAACGGUUAUCAUAAUGGGAAAAUAAGCAGAGAAACUGUUUGGAAGUAAUUGCAAAGAUUUGGUCAGCAAAAGAUCCUACCCAACAGAAGCAACAUUACCAGAGGAGAUGGAGAAAACAAGAGGCUAAAAAUUCUUUUUCAGCUCAAGAUAACGGAAGAUAGUGAGCUAUUAAUCAAAGCAGUCUUCCCACAUAUGGAAUCCUCUGUACCACCUUUUGAAAACGACCCAGCAACUAUGACUCCAGAUCCUGUUCCUUUUCAAAGAAAGAGAGUUGCUGAGACAAGUAAAAGAGGAUUAUUCAUAUCUGAACCAGACAAGAAAUCUAGAAG